GUGCGAAACAGACGGUGGGUUAAAGGAACACUCCACCCUCAUUUACAUGAAAACUCAACCAUGAGUUUUCUUUCAUCCCUACGAAUUCAUUCCAGGCAUGGACAGCUCGCUAAUCCCACUAAAUACUUUUUUAAUUCUAAACUCUGACGCAUCGGUAGCAUAGAGCUGGGAAGCCCACCCCCCAUCCACUGUAUCUCAUCAUUUUUGGAGGAAUUUGUCUCCUACUUCAUUACGUACCUUCGAUAGAGUCCAAUGAGUAGUUCCACCUGCUUACACACUGCCAACAAUGUAACGUAGGCUGUAUACCCACUUGUGGAGGUAGCAGCUGCUCUAAAACUAAUGCACACAUUAUUAUGGAACUCAGAUUCUUGCUGUGGAACUUUGCAGCCAGCAACAGUUCCAUCAGGAGCCAAAACUGUUUUGGAGCCUUAGUUUUGUACUGAAUCUGCGGCUGAAAUAUUUGGAAAACACCAAUAACACAAAGUGUAGUGCAUGUUACCAAGGAUCUAUAUGCCCUUUUGAUACCAUAUGACAGAGCCUCUGGAAGUUCCAAAAUUUGAGGUAACCAAGAAGAAAGAAAUUUCACCAUAUCUGUUCCUUUUAUGCCUUCAGAGUAACCGCUAACCACAAAAUACAAAAGCUAAAGUAAUUUCAGCUUCCACACACAACACGAUGGAAUCAGAGUUUCAGUGUGAUGAAUGACCGUCUUCUUGUAGACAGUAACUCCUUUUUCGGAAUGGCUUUCUA
This is a long non-coding RNA of Protopterus annectens (West African lungfish), 747 nucleotides long. RefSeq lists it as uncharacterized. NCBI's taxonomy places the organism in Eukaryota, Metazoa, Chordata, Ceratodontiformes, Protopteridae. The transcript is spliced from 3 exons. The record is from RefSeq and is a predicted model, not a curated record.